RNAcentral lists this small RNA (7797 nucleotides) under Caenorhabditis elegans. RNAcentral's name for it is "Unclassified non-coding RNA T19D12.15". The record is from RNAcentral. Lineage: Eukaryota; Metazoa; Nematoda; Chromadorea; Rhabditida; Rhabditidae.
GGGUUUUCAACUACAACAAGCCUUUCUCCAUCUACCUCAAGCUCAUCACCAUUCAAUGGAAAAAUUGCUACAGUCUUUGAAUUGAAUGCAGUUCAACCUGAAAUUCAGGUAAGCAAUAUUCACCAAAGAAAUCUCAAUUCAUGUUUUAGAACAUCAUACAUUUCGUGAGAAAUAACUUGUACAACUCUACAAACUAUGACUUUGCCACUGUUUCCGAAGCCAUAAAUAUUCCAUAUGCUUUCACAGAUAAUUACAACUCAAACAUUUUGCAAUACGGCAUAGCAAAGCAAGAAGUUCAAGCAAUUUCACAAAAUUACUUAUUGGAUUUACAGGAGCUUGAUAGAUCUUCAGAGCAAUGUUGAUACUCUUUACAUUAACGCAUUUUCAAUGAGGGAUGCAACAAUUUCAGAGUAACCAUUAUGCCGAAAUUGUAAAUCGUAUUAUUUUUAUUUCAGUGGCCUCGUGUGGCUGAUCAAUAACUACCCAUAUGGAAUAAACACUAUUAUCAUUGUCGUCGGAUAUCAGUAAUAUUAUUUGAUCCAAAUAACAUACCUAAGAAUAUUUUUCAGUGAUGAUGAAAACCCCGCAACGACUACAUUCAUUCUUGAAACUCUCAGAGCUCAGGGAUAUAAAGUUAUAACGGUAGCUGCUGGUGUAGGGCAUGGAGAUUUAUCUGGAAUUGCUGACAAACCAGAAUGGUAUUUCCAAGUCAAUGACUCAAAUGGACAAACUAUUGCUGAUGCGAUUUCAGAAGUUCUUUGCAGUUUGCAAUUUCUGUAAACAUUAAUAAAAAAAUAUGGUGUUUCUACUGUUUAACUUCUCACAGUUACAGUUUAAAUUUCUUUGAAGAAUUUGCAAUAUGUAAACUACAUAGAAAUUUAUGUGCACAUAAAGGAACACUUAACUGUUAAAAAUGUAUAAAAUGUAACAAUAUAUUCUUGAUCACUGUUUGUUGUGACUUCAAAAAUUGCAAUAAAUUUAUGGGAAAAAGAUUAUUGGUCUUGUGUUAUGUACUUAUGUUACAAUUAUGUGUGGAGCUGUAAUGUGUUUUUUUAAUGGGAAACGUGCCACCUGAACUGAACUCAUGAGUCGAUUCCAGAUAACAAGACCAAAGUUCAGCUAGAUUUUUUAAAUGAAAUUGCUACAACAUUUGAGUACAAAACUGGCAAACGGACAGUUCAUCCAUAGAAAAGUGUUGUCAAAAUGUUUUAAAGUUAUAGUGCAGAUCUACAUGAAUUGUUUGGUAAAUUCAUUGUCAACUUGUAAAAUAUGUUUAAGUUUGGAAUUGAAAAAUCGAGACUCUGAAAUAACGUUGCGUGGGAAAAAUUUUCAAUAAGGAAAAAAGAGAAAAAAGAAGUACAUAGAGGUAGAGACAAAUUUGAUUGAUAAACUUGAAACCUGGAUAAAGGUGGAGCAUAUUAUAGAAUUUUUUUCAAUAGUAUACUUUAAGAUUAGCUUGAGAGACCUCAAAAAUACACACAAAAUACGUUGGAAAUACAUCAUUAGGCUUCUGAUAACUUCAUAAUUUUUUAAAGUUCAACUACAACUUUUGAAUUAGUGAGUCAUAGUGUCAGUUGUAAUCUAAUAAACAAACUUUCCAAUGUUUCAAAACUUCAUUACAUUUUCUUAUCAAUCCAUUUUUCGGAACUGUUAGUUUUCGAUUAUAAUAAAUAUUAACAAAAUCACACUUUUAUUCGAACCAAUUUUAUGAGCAGAUUACAUCAAUCAGAAAAUUAUUUACUGCAACUGAUGGAAACGCCUUUGAAAUUGAAACUUCUAAAAAGCAAACUACAGCUCAUUCACUUGCAUCCAAAUUUACGACCUUCCAUUGAAUGGAAUGCGAUUAUCAGUACUCUCAAUUGAAUAAGAGUAUAGAAACAGUUUUCUACGCUUUCCUUGUUCACCGCAAAGUGCCCACCGACUAUUCAAACAAUUAAACUUUAUUGAAAAACUGAUAAGUGAAUUUGAACAGAAAUUGGUCGUUGGCAAAUUGAUAAAGCACAUUAUAUUCUUCCUGACGCCAGGAUUCCCACUACUUUUUUCUCGUGCAAAAGUUUUUAGUCAUUUCAUAAACGUCAUUUCAUAGAUUUAUUGACGUUGAAAUUAUGUUGUUUCAAAGAUGAGCUGACUCUGUUUUAGAUCUGUGAAAAGUUAAUAUUAAAAAACCGACCAAUAAUCCCUAUUGUUCUCGAUUCUCUGAGAUCCCUCCAGAGAAAAAUAUAAAUUUUAAGUCACUAAAUUAUUUUUUUAACUUUCAAAUAAUUUACUUAAUAAACAAUUACUACUCGAUAAUGAUCCAUAAAGUAUCUAUAAUUUUAAUGUAUUAAACAAAUUUUGAUAAGCCUAUUAAAUGUUUAGAUUUUCAUACAACAAAACAAUUCGGAAAAAGACAUAUCUUGUUAUAUCAAAGCGGAUGUUGUGAAAAAAACGAAACCUUUUUUUAAAAUAAAAACAAACUAUUUUAUAGAUUAUUUACACCUUUCACCUUGAUUAAAAAUUAAAAAAGAAUACAUUGCAACAUGAAAAUGCCACUCAAUGGUAGCAUUUACAUACACUGAUAAGACCAUUUGAACCACACCUUUCAUUAUUGAAAUUAAUGCAACAUACGCUUUUUUUCCAGUGAUUUAUUAGUUUUUUAUGCAGAACAGACAGUUUCAAAUGCCAAGAAUUUCAGGUUCGAGAGAGUAGAAGACGAUGUUUCGGGACCUUGGCAGGGUCCACAUCGUUUCUUUUGCCGUCGGAAUCGUAGGAUUAGCUGUUGGAAUUACUGGAAUCGUUUUGGCAAUUGUAUUUGGAACUGGUGAGUAUAAAAAACCAUAGAAGUUCACAUUUUCAAUUGGUUAAUUUAGCACAAUCAACUUGCACCACUCCUUCACCACCGCCAGUUUGUCCAACCUGUCCCACGCAAACUGCGCAAUGUAACACAAAUCUAUUUUCAAUAAGUACUCAAGUCAAUAAUUUAAAAUGGAAUGAUGAUUACAAUAAUACGAAUAGUCCCGCUUACAUUGAUGCUGUUAAGAACAUAACCAGUGCACUUACUGCAACUCUGAACACUGGUUUAAAUACCGCCUCAUCAUCUGGAUUUUACCGAGUUCUUGCCGUAUCUACGACGAACAAUGUGAAUGUUCAGAUUUCAGCUCUUCGGUUAGUUAUUUGACACGUUUUAGUCGCGUAAGUUUCUCUGUAAAACUCGUUUUAGUACUGUUGAAAAUGAUGUUUUAUAAUCUUAAAAACACCCCAGAACUACCAAAAAUUACACGUACACACUUCCAGGCAAGGAUCUGAUAAUUCGGUUGUGGCUAUCGGAAACGGAGCUAUUUCUUCAACUUCUGAUCUUGGGCAAAUGCCCACUGAUAAGAAUGUUAACAGUGUAAUCACUUCUGACAAUACGACAUAUUCGGAUGUGACCAGUGAGUUAACAUUGAAUCGCUUUUUGCAAUAAAUUAUUUUCAGCUGCUCCACAGGCAUGUGAUAAAACUAUAAUUCAAUCCGACUGUCCUUCGACUGUUGCUCCUGUAACAUGCUCAACAAUGCCUAUGCCGACAACACAACCACUUGUCACUUCAACCGCCCCAGAAGUUACCACAACAGUAGCCCAGACAACAACGGCUCCAAUUGUCACGACUGCUAAUACCACAACUCAGGGAGUUACUACGACGGCUGGAGUUACCACAACAGUAACUAGGGCUCAAAACUCAACUUUGGCUGCAACUACGACUGCUCCGUCUACGAACACUACAACUCAGGGUGUUACUACAACAGUUGGAAAAACAACAACAGUUACUACUGCUCAAAAUUCAACAUGGGCCGCUACUACGACUGCUUCCAAUACCACUACACAGCCAGUUGUUACAACAUCAACAAGUACCCAAGGUAUUUCAACCACAACAGCACAGGCCACGCCAUCAAGUUCUGUAAUCCCAACGACCACACAAACUACACAACGGCCCACCAGCACAGGUAUCCCUAGCACAGUCUCAACAUCGCAAGGAACCAGCAGUACAUCCCCGAUCCCUUCCACCACGCAAACCUCAUCAAGUGCUCCGAGCACCUACACCUCGAAUUUCACCCCAUCCCCCACAACAACUCUACUGACAAGUACUAUCGCUCCGAGUACCCAAGGAGUUCCCACUUCUAGUAAGUCUUCCUCCCCCAACAGUACCCCAACAACAACUAUCACACCUGGAGCGCCCUCAUCCACUCUAGGAUCAUCAAGUUCAACAAUAGUGUCUACUACUAUUACCCCGAGUACCCCAAAAGUCUCCACUUUGACAUUGAGUCAGUCCCCCACUCCCACCAGCACCCCACUGGUAGUCUCCUCUUCCUCAUCAGGAUCCAGCUCGACUGUGGUAACUAGUACUAUUACACCAAGUACUCAAGGAGUCCCAACUUCCACAUCUAAUCAGCCAACUCCCUCCACCAGUAACCCAACAACUCCUAAAUCCACCGUUACAGCAUCCCCAUCGACGACAGGAGCCACCUCAACUGCUAGUCCUUCAACUAUCACAUCAUCAGCACCUACUUCCCAGUCGCAUUCUCCUUCAUCCACUAUGACGUCAACUGUUCCAGUGACAUCAACCUUCGCGUCAACAACUACAACAGUGCCAAUAACAGUUGCACCAGGUCAAUGUUAUUGCCAAUCAAAUGUUGCUGUGGCAUUCGAGCUUACUAGUGGAACAUCGGAUCUUGACCUGGACAUUCAGAAUUUCAUUGCGAACUAUUUGUUCUUUUACUCCGGAGCUCCUUACAUCCUUGGUGAUUUGACAGACAACAGAACUGCGGUAACGAUUGUAUCACAAAUGCAAUACUAUAAUAAUUUAUGGGCCUUCAGAUCUCUCUCGUUCCAUUCCCUAACGAUGACACUCUAUCCGAUCUGAUGACCUAUGGAGCUGAACAAACACCAUCAGGAAUAUCAGCAGCUUUGGAUACAUUCAACAUUCUAGCAAGAGGAAAUGCAGUCAUUUCGGAUGCAUUUAACAUUAUUCCGAAUAUCACAAGAAAAGGUUAUCAAGGAUUUGUCAUUCUCGUUGCCAACUCGUAUGUUGAAAAAGAUUUGAUCCUCCGAACAAUAUCUUCAUUUCAGUGAUGAAUCGGUUCAAGCUUCGGUUGAUUCUGCUACAAACUUGAAGGCUCAAGGAUUUAAUGUAAUUACGGUUGCAUUUAAGUCAAGUGGAAAGUUUGAUGUCUUAGCUUCACAACCAUCAUACAAUUAUACAAUUGUGCAAGAUGCUGAUAAACGAUACGUUGCAACACUUAUCGGAAAUGUUUUGAGUGAGUUUUCUAGUUGAAAAAAUCAUGAACAAAAAAGUAACUUAUGUUUUAGACACUACGUAUUGCAACAAUCUUGCUGCCUCCAGUACUACUAUGACUUCUGGAGUUUAUUCUUCAACAGUCACUGUGACAACCCAAGGAUCAAGCUCUCAGGCUCCAUCCUCCACAGUUACCGUACCAACUACUGGCACUACUUCCGGCGCUGCAUCCACAACUGGAUCUAUAACAUCUACUCAACAAGCAACAUCGACAAGUAGCGUAAUUACAACAGGAAGCACAUCAGCUCCUCAAAGUUCGACUGCUGUAAGUUCAACUACGACAUCUCCUUCUACUACAACUGGAAGUACACCUGCUCCACAAAGUUCGACUGUAGCAAGCACGACUACAGUGUCACCAUACACUACAACAGAAUGCAUCUGCACAACAGUCAGUAAUACAUUUGGUACUUCUACUACUCAAGGAUUAACAUCUUCAUCUGCUCAAAGCACUGCGUCAACUGGAGUUUCCACAGUAGCUAGUUCAACAACUAUCCCUCAAGGGUCAUCCUCAUCAUCCCCACAAUCUCCAACAUCGGCUCAGCCAGCACAAUCAAGUUCCACAAGUGCUGCUACAGUAACCGUAUCUUCAUCACAAUCUCCAACAUCUUCACCAGCUCAACAAAGUAGCACACCAGCUGGAUCAUCCACAGUAACUGUUCAGCAAUCAUCAUCUUUUCAAAGUCCACAAAGUACAACACAAAUAGGAUCCUCCACAACAGUUCCAUCGACUCAAGCUCCAUCAAGCACAUCUGGUGGGCCAACGACAACUCAAAUCUGUCCAAAUCAACAAACCGUAUUCAAGGGGCAAGUCGGAGUAAUUUAUGAGAUGCUUCCAGCCUCCACUCAACAAAAUGCUAUCAACGCAUUUGUGGAGAAUGUGCUAUUGAAUUCAAACUUCUACGGAUUGGCUUUGGAUAAUCUAACCCAUGACAAUAGAACACUUGUCACUGCUAUUCCAUACCCAACAACUGACAAAUACAAUGUUCAAGGAUAUGGAAGUGCGAGAAGUGUAGAUGAAUUUAGAAAUCAAGUUAUUGCGUUCAAUGGAAUGAUUCAACCUAUUUCACAAUCCAGCAGUAUUUCAGAGUAUGUUAAUAACAAUUUUCAUGUGAAGAUUUUCAUUUAUUUUUCAGUGCACUUUUGUACGUUACGACCAGUCUGCCAGCUGGAGGUGUUAAGUCAUCACUUAUUAUCGUUGGAAAUAGCGCAGCGAUGAUUGACAAUAUCGCACCGAUAUUAACAAACCAGUUGCGAUCGGAUUUCGAUAUAUAUACAGUUGGUGUUGGCAGUGGCGCCGUUGAUUUGUCGCCUCUAUCUUCGGGUAAGAUUUUAGAAAAACCUUGAGAUUGUACUAGAAAUUUUCAGUUCUGAAAUAGUUUUCUAAAAAGGCUUAUUUUUUCGUUUUGUACACACCGGUUUUCAUUUGAUCAAAGAACAAAUUCAACAUUUUGAGAUUUGAAAACUUGUGAUCUGUACAUUUAAAGAACGAAAAAAUAAAUCCUUUGUCAUCGGCAGAAUUCUUCAGGAACUGGAUUCUCGUUUACUGGAGACACUCAACAAGUUGCUGACCAAAUUGGCCUUAAAAUGGCAUCUUCAAACCCAUCUGUAUACUGUCCACCUCCUGUACCAUCAACUGCUGCACCAAGCACUUCUACAGCAGUCCCUACAACUACAGUACCCGUAACAACAACCAUAGCGACCACUACUCGUGUAACUACUGUUCGACCUACAGUAGGACCUUGUCAGUGUACCGGAAGAUGGGUUUAUAAUGGAGACUUGGCCAUCGCGUUUGAAAAUAUCAAGACUAAUGGAUCACAGGUACGGAUUUAUCAACUGUCAUAAGAUUAUAAAAACUAUAAAGUUUAGAGCGUAGCAAAUUUUCUGAGCAAUACGCUAUUGAAGAAUCCAGAUUCAUAUGGUCUUACAAAUGAUGUCAAUGGAAACCAACCAUCGCAAUUAACUCUUAUCCCAUAUCCAGAUUCAAAUACAUAUCCAACUUAUCCAUAUGGAUGGAUCAGGUAUUGAAAUCACACGUUCAGGAUUACAUUUAACAUAUAUUUAAGAUCGGUUAAUGAUAUUGGAAACUACAUUGAUGCAAUUUCUCCCCUUCCACUGGCCACCCCGGAUCCGCAAAUCUCAGAUGCUUUAACUUUUAUUAGUGCACAGCCAACAACUCUGAAUUCGAAAGUAGUCCUUCUCGUUGGAUCAAAUGGAACUGAUGUCAAUGCAGCAAUGGAUUCUGCGAAUAAACUUAAAAAUGCAGGAUAUCUUGUCAUAACGGUUGCUCAGACGGCUGCUGCAAGUGUUUUCCAACCGUUGGCUUCUGGAAGUCAGUUUGCUUUACACAUUGGGGAUGGAAAUGAUGAUGCUGUGGCUGCGCAGAUAGCAAGCAUGUUACUUGAUUAUAGUUUCACGUGCUUCGACGAUGGAUCUAGCACUCCUUCUCCUACUACACGAUGCCCCGGUACCCAAGGAACAACUCAACCAG